GACAGAGGGUGCAGCCGUUGCUCGGAAUCACUGGGCGUAAAGGGCGUGUAGGCGGGCAGGAAAGUCAGAUGUGAAAGCCCUGGGCUCAACCCAGGAACUGCAUUUGAAACUCCCUUUCUUGAGUGUCGGAGAGGAAAGCGGAAUUCCUGGUGUAGAGGUGAAAUUCGUAGAUAUCAGGAGGAACACCGGUGGCGAAGGCGGCUUUCUGGACGACAACUGACGCUGAGACGCGAAAGCGUGGGGAGCAAACAGG
Molecule: ribosomal RNA, 253 nt
Filed under: uncultured bacterium
Lineage: Bacteria
Description: partial 16S ribosomal RNA
Rfam family: Bacterial small subunit ribosomal RNA
Source: RNAcentral